ACGGGAGGCAGCAGUAGGGAAUAUUGCACAAUGGGGGGAACCCUGAUGCAGCCAUGCCGCGUGUGUGAAGAAGGCCUUCGGGUUGUAAAGCACUUUAGUUUUCGAGAAAGUGCGUAUAAAUAAUAAGUAUGCGUAUUGAUGUUAGAAAAAGAAUAAGUACCGGCAAACUCCGUGCCAGCAGCCGCGGUAAUACGGAGGGUACGAGCGUUAAUCGGAAUGACUGGGCGUAAAGGGCACGUAGGUGGGUAAUCAAGUCGGCAGUGAAAUAUCCGGGCUCAACCUGGGGAUGGCUGGCGAAACUGAUAAUCUAGAGUAUGGUAGAGGGGAGUAGAAUUCCAAGUGUAGCGGUGAAAUGCGUAGAGAUUUGGAAGAAUACCGGAGGCGAAGGCGGCUCUCUGGACCGAUACUGACACUGAAGAGCGAAAGCGUGGGGAGCAAACAGGAUUAGAUACCCUGGUA
RNAcentral lists this ribosomal RNA (459 nucleotides) under uncultured Succinivibrio sp. Its description in RNAcentral is "bacterial SSU rRNA". It matches the Rfam family "Bacterial small subunit ribosomal RNA", at positions 341 to 792 of the family's 1533-position model. Lineage: Bacteria; Pseudomonadati; Pseudomonadota; Gammaproteobacteria; Aeromonadales; Succinivibrionaceae. The record is from RNAcentral.